UAUACUGACAUGCUUUUUCUCUGUUCUAACCAGCGGUGAGGCAGCUGAAGGAAGCUGUGGACUCAUCCAUUAACAAGCUGUCCAACUUUGACGAAGUCAUUGAUGCACAUCUUCAGAAUAACCAGACGACCGUGGACAACAGCUUGGCCAGUCCAGACAGGCUUAAAG
Sinocyclocheilus rhinocerous is the source of this 168-nucleotide long non-coding RNA. RefSeq lists it as uncharacterized. The record is from RefSeq and is a predicted model, not a curated record. NCBI's taxonomy places the organism in Eukaryota, Metazoa, Chordata, Actinopteri, Cypriniformes, Cyprinidae. The transcript has 2 exons.